GCCUCCUGCUUCUCUUGUGCAUAUACUGGAAGCAGCGGACGAUCCCCACGAUGAUGCUCCUCUUCGUCUUCCGUCAACAUCGGGCCGCUCGUGUUCUCCUGCACAGGAAAUCAUCCUCAGCGUCAUCUUCACAGACAUAAUUGAUCAAGUGACGAUGAGUAAUGGAUGGGUCCGUGGGAAUGGAAGAAAAGAAGCUACUCCGAGCGAGACUGGUGGGUGGCCCUGAUGGUGAGUCAUGAUUGACUACCUAGCAAGCUAAUUGCAACCACUCCCUGGCCUCUCCCAACUGGUGAUCAGGGCUCCAUCUAAAGAGGUAAUACGGUUCCUCAAUUGUUCCACGAACCGUAGCUAAUCGCCAGUGAUUUUCUUGUUUCUUGUAAACUGAACUGGAAUUGCUUCUUGCGCUUCAUUGUGAGAGGUAGAAUACAGUUUACCAUGGAUGAUUAGUGGUGAACCUGAAAAUGAACUUAGUUUUUGGUUCAUUCCAAUGUAUGGUCAGUAGUGAUGAAUGUCAGUGACGAAUGAACUGCAGAUGAACCUAGCUUUUGUAAGAUUAACUUAGUUUUUGGUUCACUCCAAUGUAUGAUCAUUAGUGAUAGCACGUCUAUUGGUUGUGUAUUUGAUGUGUGCGGAAACAGAGAUGGCAUAAGAACUUUCGGAAAACAAAAAAGGCGUUUGCUACAAAUAACACGGGCAAUGCCACGUUGCUGUUGCUUCUCUUGUACACAUCACACAAACAUCAGAUUUUGAUUAUUCUCAAACGACAAUGUCAGACAAGAUACGAGAAGCGACAGCAUUCCAGAGGCAAUACUAAGGAUGGCAAAUUUACCCACGGGUAUGCGUACCCGCGGGUACCGUACCCGCAUGGGCAGGGUAUGGGUACACUUUUAUGCCCAUGGGUAGUACCCAUACCCUGCCCGUUAAGUCAUGGGCAGGGCACGGGCAUAGCUUCGUACCCGCGGGUAUACCCAUACCCUGCACAUUUAUUGUUAAAUUCUUACGUGACACGUCUAUUUCUGUUGACUUAUGAGUUAGAAUAUGAGAAUGUGAUUUUUAUAUUAUGUUAAUUGUUAUGUACUCAACUAACUAUUAUUUAGUUGAGAUAAUUAAUUUUUUAAUCGAAAUUGUUAUCGAU
Lolium perenne is the source of this 1135-nucleotide non-coding RNA. The record is from RefSeq and is a predicted model, not a curated record. NCBI's taxonomy places the organism in Eukaryota, Viridiplantae, Streptophyta, Magnoliopsida, Poales, Poaceae.